AUGGAGGUCGACUGCUUGGAGCUAGUUGAUCUAUGGAAAUCGCGCAGCAACACUCGAUCAGUUGCAGCGCCUAUCUUGAACGAAUUAGAGGAAAUCAGUGCUAUUUUUGCUUCAAUUUCUGUUACUCAUGUCAGUAGGGAAGGUAAUAUUCCGGCGCAUCAGUGUGCUCGUCUAGCUAGCACACUUGAUGGCACCAAGAGUUGGCUUGAUGCAAGCCCUGAGUUUCUAGUUUCUUGCCUGCGGGCAGAUUAUAACACUAUGAUAUUACGUUAA
This 273-nucleotide ribosomal RNA is filed under the name Triticum aestivum (bread wheat). RNAcentral's name for it is "partial small subunit ribosomal RNA". The record is from RNAcentral. Lineage: Eukaryota; Viridiplantae; Streptophyta; Magnoliopsida; Poales; Poaceae.